CCUACGGGUGGCUGCAGUCGAGAAUCAUUCACAAUGGGGGAAACCCUGAUGGGGCGACGCCGCGUGGGGGAAUGAAGGUCUGCGGAUUGUAAACCCCUGUCAUGUGGGAGCAAAUUAAAAAGAUAGUACCACAAGAGGAAGAGACGGCUAACUCUGUGCCAGCAGCCGGGGUAAUACAGAGGUUUCAAGAGUUGUACGGAAUCACUGGGCGUAAGGCGUGCGUAGGCUGUUUCGUAAGUCGUGUGUGAAAGGCGCGGGCUCAACCCGCGGACGGCACAUGAUACUGCGAGACUAGAGUAAUGGAGGGGGAACCGGAAUUCUCGGUGUAGCAGUGAAAUGCGUAGAUAUCGAGAGGAACACUCGUGGCGAAGGCGGGUUCCUGGACAUUAACUGACGCUGAGGCACGAAGGCCAGGGGAGCGAAAGGGAUUAGAUACCCGAGUAGUC
This 446-nucleotide ribosomal RNA is filed under the name uncultured bacterium. RNAcentral's name for it is "partial 16S ribosomal RNA". It matches the Rfam family "Bacterial small subunit ribosomal RNA", at positions 338 to 795 of the family's 1533-position model. The record is from RNAcentral.